This is a long non-coding RNA of Humulus lupulus (European hop), 577 nucleotides long. RefSeq lists it as uncharacterized. Lineage: Eukaryota; Viridiplantae; Streptophyta; Magnoliopsida; Rosales; Cannabaceae. The record is from RefSeq and is a predicted model, not a curated record. The transcript has 3 exons.
UCUGCCUAAAACUCUUCUUAACACUCUUUUAAAGUUUUAAAUCUCUAAAAUCUAGGCGAAGUUCUGUUUGUAACGCUAGCCUACGAAGACCUUUUUGGGAAGCUAACAAUUUCGGUUGUUUUAUCAAGACGCAAGGUAAGAGGCCCCAAAUAUAAAUUGUUGAUGAGUAUACGUGGAGCCAACAUGACUGUACAUAUGGGGCUGACCUGAAGGGAGUGGAGUUCUGCUAUGCUAUUUUAUAAAUAAACGAGAAACUUGAUUUUAUAAUUAUAUUUCAUUAAAAGUAUUUUGUGAACUUUAUAAUUUACUUAAAGCUUUAAAAGUAUUUCAUGAACGUUGUAAUUUACAUAAAGCUUUUCAAUUUAUCGGUUGGAUACAUCUUCAUUUCUACGUUAAGGUGUAGUAACGCCACGAAAAUUAUUUAUAAAAGUAUUAAGAUUUGUAUGUAAGAUAAAGUUUUUAUUUAGUUGUGAGUAUUGUAUGGUUUGAGGUUAUGAACAUUAGUUAUGUAUUGUUUAAUAAAGUUUUUGUAAAUUCAGAAUUUCAGUAUUGUUAUAUUCAGGUUAAACUUUGUUUU